Anastrepha ludens (Mexican fruit fly) is the source of this 1074-nucleotide long non-coding RNA. RefSeq lists it as uncharacterized. The record is from RefSeq and is a predicted model, not a curated record. The transcript has 3 exons. NCBI's taxonomy places the organism in Eukaryota, Metazoa, Arthropoda, Insecta, Diptera, Tephritidae.
AAAGAGAUGAUGAAUUCGGUUAUAGUACAUUGUUGUUAUUGUUGUUGUAUUAAAAAUAUUUUACAUAAUUGUUUUAGCAUCCAACCAAUGGACUAGAUGAGUAGCCAAUUCAGUUGUUCAGUGUUAUACGAUUUUCGACUUAGGCGAUUACAGUUAUUAUUUGGUGUUUAAUAUAUUUACAUGUGACACUAAUAAAUCCAUAGAAAUAUGAAUCUUGAUACCUACCGGAAGAAGCAUAUUCUCCAGGAUGCACCCAGCUUCCUAUUUGCGGCGUUGAAAGAAAGAGUACAGCCAAAUAUUAAUUAAGCCAAGUCGGAACAUCACAGCAUAGCAAACGGUAAUUUGUGAUGAGAGAGUUUCACAGCAAAGCAAAAGAGUUUUCGUUGUGUUAUUAUUUAACAUAACAGUAUCAAUUCAAGUGCGUGCAUGUUUGGGGGCGUGUAGACAAGCAGGUCGGAAACAUUUCAAUAUAUGGCAAUUUCAAGCAGCACGCGGACGCAUAAUAAGAAAAAAUAAAUACAAAGAUUUUUGAUUACUUCUUCCUUUGAAAAAGUUCGGUUCGGCCUUAGAAAUCCAUGUUCGGUCUUAUCUAAUUACAAGCAAUGCUGCUAAAACAAAGUUGAACUAAAUAUUAACUACUUAGACCUGUCCGCCUGUUGAUGGAAUUCUUGAGCGAAUUGAACGGAAUUUCACCGUCUACAACAGAAACAUGCAAAUGUGCGCAUAAAAGGCAACAAACGAACAACUGUAUUCCCACCGAAUGGAGGAGACCGAGUGCGGUUUAUUGAUUGUAAUGUAACUUGUCAAAAAAAAUAAAACGAUUGCUUGGAGACGCAUAAUGUCAAUGACCAAUUCACAUAUCUCAUAUGCACAUAUAUGUAUGUACAUACACAUACACAUAAAACUACAGAUUGUGUACAUAUCACUUCUUUGAUAAACUUUCUCUGUUAAUUUCUGCACAUUUAUAGCUGCGUUAAAUGGUUUUAUGUAGUAAAGGGUUUUCUGUGUUGUUCCAUCACAAAUUCCUAUUAUGAAAUUGGAAAAAGAAAAACGACGCGGUUAUUCGAAAAGUCC